RNAcentral lists this long non-coding RNA (1541 nucleotides) under Ananas comosus (pineapple). Its description in RNAcentral is "long non-coding RNA (ACOM_LNC032523)". Lineage: Eukaryota; Viridiplantae; Streptophyta; Magnoliopsida; Poales; Bromeliaceae. The record is from RNAcentral.
GCAAUUGCUUAUAUACCUCUAAAAAGUUCUCGACUUUUCGAUUUACCCCUCUUAGAAGGUUAGUAUUAAAAAUACCCCUCCUACGUUCUAACCUAUUUCUAAUAUACCCUUAGAGUUAAAAUUUGUUAAAUAACUCUCUUAUCUUUAUAAAAUUAUUAUUUUGCCCUUUCAAAUAUACCAUUCCGCCAUCAGUCUUUCUUAUUUGCCCUUAAAGUCAGGGGCAAAAAAAGUGUUUUGAUGUUUAGUCUUUUCCAAUAUACCCCUCUACCAUCACCAACAUUUCUUAUUUGCCCUUAAGUUAAGGGCAAAAUUGACAUUUUAAUAUUUUUUAACUGUGGUAGAUAUUUAACUCACGUUUAACCCAGGUUAACUUAACAGGAGAUAACUGCAGGUACAUGUCAAAAAAGUGCUGCUAGCUAAAAUUAUCGACACUUUUAAAAAGUGUUGCUAUAUGUGGGGUCGCUAGAUAUAUAGUGACAGUUAAAGAGUGUCGCUAUAACCUAAAAGAGUGCUGCUAAUUUACCAACACUUAUUUAAGCAUUUAGCAACCGCUGAAACUCUAUCUCGUUGGCUGCGGUGGCGGAGGAGGACGACAGGAAAGGCUGUUCGUCUAGAAUUUCAGUGGAUUGAGUGAAGAGAGAAGAAAAGAUGAUAAUUGAUUUUUUUUUUUCUUUUUUGUUUGUAAUUGGGCCAAAUGGACUGGGUGUGAUGGGUUGAGUAGAGUAAUCUUUUAUUUUUGGUUGGAUUGGGCUUUAUAUUUAGGCAUUAGUAGAUAUUUUUUUAAGUUUUAGGAUAAAUAGGACACUUAUUCAAAAAUGUCCCAAACAUCUGUCCCUAUAACCUAAUUCUGUUGUAGUGGGAGUUUCCUUCUAGCUAGUAAAGUGCAACAGUGUACUGUCCUACUUAACUAAGAAAUUUUUCUAACAAGUGAAAUCACAUAAAAGCAAACUACAACUUUUUAAAUUAUAGAGUAUACAAAUAAAUGCUGCUAAAUAACCAAAGGGGUCUGAUUGAAGUUUUAUCCAAUUCGACAAAAAAAAAAAAAAGAGGUGCAAUUGCUUAUAUACCUCUUAAAAGUUCCCAACUUUCCGAUUUAUCCAUCUUAGAAGGUUAAUAUUGAAAAUACCCCUCCUACGUUCUAACCUAUUUCUAAUAUACCCUUAGAGUUAAAAUCUAUUAAAUAACUCUCUUAUCUCUAUAAAAUUAUUAUUUUGCCCUUUCAAAUAUAUCAUUCCACCAUCAGUCUUUCUUAUUUGCCCUUAAAGUCAGGGGCAAAAAAAGUGUUUUGAUUUUUAGUCUUUUCCAAUAUACCCCUCUACCGUCACCAAUAUUUCUUAUUUGCCCUUAAGUUAAGUGCAAAAUUGACAUUUUAAUAUUUUUUAACUGUGGUAGAUAUUUAACUCACGUUUAACCGAGGUUAACUUAACAGAAAAUAACUGCGGGGGUAUUUUGCAAUAACGGUGGAAUAUAUAAGGGGUAUUUUAGGAAGAAAAAAAAAGUAGGGGUAAAUUGAAUAUUUCCAAACAUAUGAAUCAUUCACC